UCACGUCAGGGAUUGUAGUGGAUAGCCCACAACGGGGGUACGGAGCGAGGACUUGUGACGAAAAGCCCGACCCUUA
This 76-nucleotide unclassified non-coding RNA is filed under the name Algibacter luteus. Its description in RNAcentral is "Arenitalea lutea Flavo-1 RNA". The record is from RNAcentral. Lineage: Bacteria; Pseudomonadati; Bacteroidota; Flavobacteriia; Flavobacteriales; Flavobacteriaceae.